GAUGAACGCUAGCGGCAGGCUUAACACAUGCAAGUCGAGGGGCAGCAUAAACAUUGCUUGCAAUGUUUGAUGGCGACCGGCGCACGGGUGCGUAACGCGUAUGUAACCUACCUCAAACAGGGGCAUAACACUGAGAAAUUGGUACUAAUUCCCCAUAACACUCAUUAAGGCAUCUUUUUGAGUUGAAAGUUCCGGCGGUUUGAGAUGGACAUGCGUUGUAUUAGCUAGUUGGUGAGGUAACGGACUACCAAGGCGAUGAUACAUAGCCGACCUGAGAGGGUGAUCGGCCACACUGGGACUGAGACACGGCCCAG
RNAcentral lists this ribosomal RNA (314 nucleotides) under uncultured bacterium. RNAcentral's name for it is "bacterial SSU rRNA". It matches the Rfam family "Bacterial small subunit ribosomal RNA", at positions 28 to 334 of the family's 1533-position model. The record is from RNAcentral.